CCUACGGGAGGCAGCAGUGGGGAAUAUUGCACAAUGGGGGAAACCCUGAUGCAGCGACGCCGCGUGAGUGAAGAAGUAUUUCGGCACGUAAAGCUCUAUCAGCAGGGAAGAAAAUGACGGUAACUGGCUAAGAAGCCCCGGCUAACUACGGUCCCGCAACCGCGGGAAUACGUAGGGGGCAAGCGUUAUCCGGAUUUACUGGGUGUAAAGGGAGCGUAGACGGCCACGCAAGUCUGGAGUGAAAUCCCAGGGCUUAACCAUGGAACUGCUUUGGAAACUGUGCAGCUAGAGUGCAGGAGAGGUAAGCGGAAUUCCUGGUGUAGCGGUGAAAUGCGUAGAUAUUAGGAGGAACACCAGUGGCGAAGGCGGCUUACUGGACUGUAACUGACGUUGAGGCUCGAAAGCGUGGGGAGCAAACAGGAUUAGAUACCCCAGUAGUC
This 440-nucleotide ribosomal RNA is filed under the name uncultured bacterium. Its description in RNAcentral is "partial 16S ribosomal RNA". It matches the Rfam family "Bacterial small subunit ribosomal RNA", at positions 338 to 795 of the family's 1533-position model. The record is from RNAcentral.